AAUGAACGUUGGCGGCGUGGAUUAGGCAUGCAAGUCGUGCGAGAAGGGUUUGAUGCUUGCAUUUGACCCGGAAAGCGGCGAAGGGGAGAGUAACGCGUAGAUAUCUACCCCUAGGCCCGGGAUAGCUGCGGGAAACUGCAGGUAAUACCGGAUAAUGUCUCCGGACCAAAGGUGAAAUUCCGUCUAGGGAUGAGUCCGCGUCCUACUAGCUUGUUGGUGGGGUAAUGGCCUACCAAGGCAAUGAUGGGGUAGCGGGUGUGAGAGCAUGGCCCGUCUCACUGGGACUGAGACACUGCCCAGACACCUACGGGUGGCUGCAGUCGAGAAUCUUCCGCAAUGGACGAAAGUCUGACGGAGCGACGCCGCGUGCGGGAUGAAGGCCCUCGGGUUGUAAACCGCUGUCAGUUGGGAGGAAAUGCAUAAGGGUUCUCUCUUAUGUUUGACCGAUCUUCAGAGGAAGUCCGGGCUAAGUUCGUG
This 477-nucleotide ribosomal RNA is filed under the name uncultured bacterium. RNAcentral's name for it is "bacterial SSU rRNA". It matches the Rfam family "Bacterial small subunit ribosomal RNA", at positions 29 to 507 of the family's 1533-position model. The record is from RNAcentral.